RNA transcript from Uranotaenia lowii, 7783 nucleotides. RefSeq lists it as uncharacterized. The transcript is spliced from 13 exons. The record is from RefSeq and is a predicted model, not a curated record. NCBI's taxonomy places the organism in Eukaryota, Metazoa, Arthropoda, Insecta, Diptera, Culicidae.
AAUUCAAAAAUCAUCAUUCAGUUCAGAAUUCAGAUUGAAAUUCAAGAUUCAAAUUUAGAAUUAAAAUCUUGAAUUCACAAUUAUGAAUGCAAUUUGAAAUUCACGAUUCAUAAUGUACAUAUUAAUAAACUAAGAUUUACAUGUGGGAUGCCAUAACGACCGAUUUGAACGAGUAAUUACUCGAAGCAUCUAUAAGCCAUUAGGACGCCCCUCGGCGAUAAGUCAAAACUUAUGUAAGACCCUUCACACACACCGACACGCAGUUGUCAUUCAUCGUCGCGUCGGAAUCCAUCGCGGGUCGGCAUCAACCAAUGUCAUCGUGGUGCAGAGCGAACGGGAAACCCUUAGGCGCCGUGUCUGUAAAACGUCGGGUUCCGUUUCCGGUUCUAUUUCUGCGGGGAAAUACUCUUCGUUUCGAGUUUUACAGUGUCCUGGAGAUUCAGGUAACAAACGCGUCUUUCGUGCGAACAACCUCGCGGGCCAAACCAGUGUGCAUAAUGAUGCUAAGAUACUCCGCUCGAAUGUACGUUUGAUUGUAACAUUCAUUAUUGUGUAACAUCCGGAUGAUUCCCACAGGAAAUUACAUUCUAAGCCGCACAUAACGGACGUAAUUUUACGCUGACAACGGUGGACAGUCUUCCGGUAAUUGUUCCGGAUAAGUGAAUUCAAAUUUUGUGACAUGUUCGUUCAACAACACAAAGGAGGAAAACGAGACUCAUUAGACGGACGGCAAGGGUGUCAGCUGUCUUGGAUCGCUACGUGUUGCUUGUGUCCGAUGAUGACCAAAUCGCUGGCAGCCUCCAUUUAUUUCACUUCGAAUUGGCGCUGAAAGUUGUCUACAUUUUAUUCUUGUAAAUAACGGUGAAAUAGAUACAAAAAGAAAAGUACCAGUGCGUGGAAAGUCGAUUGUUGGUGCCUUAACUAUUGUUGGUGCCUUAACUAUUGUUGGUGCCUUAACUAUUGUUGGUGCGUAUAAGAUUUUGAAAAAAAAAUCGUUGAAAAAAUAAACCAUUUGAAAAUGUCGUCUGCCGGAAAAUAUGUUCGGGCCCCUAAAUCCAACAGCGAUCCCGAAGAAUACGGCGAAAUGUAUGGCGAGUGGUCGUCAGAUGACAUGGAGUUUGAAGAACGUGAAAUUCCAAUAAACGAGAAACGUGAAUAUAAAAAAAGUGAAAACCAGGAAUACAUCCAGAAGAUAGAAAAACUGCAGAAUACUAUAGAUAAAUUAGUUAAAGAGAUGAACACUUAUCGCUCUCGUGAAGAUGACGAGUCGGUCAGAAGUUCUGCGCUUUCUGAUGAAGAUCUAAGCUGGAACAAUGCGAAGGUCAAUCCAGGUUCAUCAGCAAACUCUGGUAGUAUUCGAUGGGAAAAUAUAAAACCUUUCCCAAACGAUGUUCCGGCAAACGCUAUGUGGGAACAAUGGAACAGGUUUAUCGAUCGGUUUGAGAUCGCUACUUCCUUGGCAAAUGUGACGGACCCUGUCAAGCGCGCUCAGACAUUGUUCCUUUCGAUGGGAGAGAAACUCCAAGGAAUUACCAGGGCUGCGAGACUUCGCCCAAGUCUGACCGAACCAAACUGCUACAACCUAUUUGUCAAAAACAUCGAAAAAUAUCUGCAAUCAAUGGUCGACGUAACGGCGGAACAUGAAAUGUUUUCCAAUCUCCAACAAGGCAUUGAUGAACCAACUAUUGCCUUCCAUGCACGUCUUUUGGAAAAAGUGCGUCUCUGUCGUUAUAGUCAAACGGAUCAGGAUCGAUUCAUUCGAAUGCAACUACUUAAAGGAAUGCGUAACCGUGAGGUGGCAAAGGCGGCGAGAAUUUUUGGCUAUGAGACGACUUUUAUUGUACAGUCUGCGACUCGAGAAGAGGCAUACAUUCCGAAACCGUCACGAGUAGCUGAAUCCAGCAGAGCAUUCGUGGUGUCGCGAGAACGGAAUCGGUUCAGUGGAAAUAAACACCUGCCAAAACGCCGAUAUAAUGAUGCGGGCUGGAAUUACCCGGAAAGGUAUCGACAAGAAAGCGAGAACCAUUUUUCCGGAGAAGGAAAACGUUUUCGCUGCAAUAGGUGUAACCGUUUGUUCCACAAAUCUGGAACUUGUCCGGCAACUAAUGAGGAGUGUCGUACUUGUGGAAAUCCUGGACAUUACGCGGCAACGUGCAGGGAAAGAAAUGCCACGUACAUUCAGAAAAGGCAAAGCUCCAUUAAGGAAAGAUCGGGUGAAAAAGAUAAGCAUAGGUUCAUCGGAGCCAAUUUGUUUCCUACACGCAAAAGAAUUUAGAAAUUAAUUUGUGUGUUCUGUAGAAAAUACUUUACUUCCCUAUAACUCAUUAAUUUCACGUAAAAUCAAAGUGAACGCACACACCCAUAUUUUUAUUUUUUUUAAAGCGUGCGCUCACGCACACAAAUAAACAUUCGAUCCUUUCGUGGAAUAAAAUCAUUCAGUGCUAAAAAUUUUAUUUGUCGCCGUUCUUUCUUCCGCGACAGCAAGUGCUGUUCGUCUCCGGAUUGAAGAAAUCAUUCAAAGCGGGACUCAAAGUGAAACAGCAGAAGCACGAAUAUUUCCACCGUGGGAAUUCCUGUGUUUCCUGCCUUCCGUAUUAAACAUCCAGAGGACCAUUCGACGAAUGGAGAAUCACACCACUCGAAUCAAUCGACAGGUGCCAUCUCGGCUGAGCUGGAAACCUAGUUCAGUAGCAACAGCUGCUGUUUCAGCAGAAGUUGAAAAUUCAUCAGUGUCACUUCUCUGCAAUACACUCAGCAGCAGCAACCACAAAAGCAAAAAAAAAGAUACAUCCGCAACAAUGGAAUACGCAGCCAAAUUACCCUCGUCUUACCACAGUCAGCUAGAGAUAGUUCCGGAAGGAGAGAUAUCACAGCUGUCCGGCAGGAAUCGGCUUCCGUCGCUGUCCGCAGGUUGAACAAAUUAUCACCAUCCCCGUUCCUAGAUUCAAUAUUCAGUAUAUGACAAGUGGCAAUGUUGCUGAAAAUCUGCUGCGAUAAAACGAUGGCUACGACACCUAUUAGACGGAGUCCAACCUUUGAUUCCAUCGGAAAAUAUAGCAAGGUCGAAGACUGGAUUCGAGGAAGGUAUGAUGCUUAAGUUGCUUAUCUGCUAAACCAUUCGUCGUCCUGAGUAGCAACGGAUACUUCGGUACUCAAGUUUUCGUACAUCAUAAUCUACAUCGUUCGUACUAUGUGUUGUGGAUAAGCCUGUCAUCGAACACGUCAUCGACAAGCUGUUCAAUCUCACUGAAAGUCGGCGAGGGUGUCAGCUGUCUUGAAUCGCUACGUGUUGCCUGUGUCCGAUGAUGACCAAAUCGCUGGCAGCUUCCAUUUAUUUCAUUUCGAGUUGACGCUGAAAGUUGUCUACAUUCUAUUCCGGUGAAAUAGAUUCAAAAAGAAAAGUGUCAGUGCGUGGAAAGUCGAUUGUUGGUGCCUUAACGAUUGUUGCUGCGUAUAAGGUUUAUGUACAACAUGAACACUUUACGUGGUUAUUUGAAAAAGUCAGUAUCUGAAGCCAAGCCGUCUUUUGAAAAAAUCGACGACAAUAAAACUCAGAUUGGGCUGGAAAACGAUCAAAAGAAACAGGAUGUAAACAAACGUAAGAAACGUCGUAGUUGAGCUGCCUAUAGCUCUCUGGAUGACAGCAAAACAUUAAACCAAGAUUCGAAAACAACGGAUUGCAUUAUAUAUCUAAAAUUUAUAUGAUUUGAAGUAAUAGGCAUCUCUUAAAAAAAUUAUAGUUCUUGGGUACAUUUUGAACUAUACACCACUGUACAAGCUAUAAGACAGAAAUAGCUCAGAUCCCCACUCACAAUUCAACAAAAUAAUUUCCGCGUUUAAUGAUAAAAUAUGCUAAUAAUUGAAAUUCAUAUCUCGUGGAUGUAGUUGUGUGCUUAUUUGUAUGGAGUUUGUGUUGCGAACCAUAAAAAACAACGUUGAUUUAGAAUUAAAAUCUUGAAUUCACAAUUAUGAAUGCAAUUUCAAAUUUUCGAUUCUUAAUGUACAUAUUUACAAACUAAGAUUUACACUCAUAAUUAUAUUUUGUCUUCCACAUUUGUGAAAUAUUUAAAUAUCAUUUUCAAAAUACAAACUUUAACUACUUGGUAGAACGGUCGCUGCUAUAAAAUAUAUUUUCUGAUUUAUUUUGAAUAAAUUAUCCUUCCGAAUUUUGGUUUUCUUGAUCACACUGUAAUACAUAACAGCAUAUAGGUACACGCUCAUUUUUAUUUAACCAUAUAUGGUUAUACCAAUUUUCUGGUUUUUUCUCAAAAACUAUCAAUAUUGUUUUUUUAAAGAUUAUUUCUUUGCGAAAUUUUAACCAUUUUGGCAGUUCUCGUGUAUUAACCACAAAAUGGUUGAAACAUUUCUUCGCCAUUUUGGAUUUAACCGUGGAGCAAACCGAACGCGUUUAUUAAAAUUUGUAUUUUUUUCGCACGAAUAAAAUGUUUCAUAGUAGUAUAGUAAAUCUGUUCCUGCGAUUCGGAUGAAGCUGGGGCUGGUCGGUCGGCGUCUCUGCUGGAAUUGCGGUCGAUAUCGCUGUCUCAGGAAACUCCCGGUUCAUUCAGUACUAGAAGCAAAAAACUUGGAUUGCCUGUCAAAAUUAUUUUGCCAAUUUUUUGGUAAAUUUUGGCUAUAUCCGUCGGUGAAAAUCAGUCAAAAAUGGGAAAUAAGCCACUCCGAAAAGCUCCGGUCGGAAGAAAUCAGCAUCAUGGGAAUGGCACAGCAAAUGGUCCACAUCAAGCGGGAAGUGAACAAAACUGCCUGUAAGUCGCUGUCCGUGAAUCGGAAAACAGAACUCUGAUCAAUCAUGGUCGGCUGAUUCUGGGUUCCGGCACCGGGGCAAGUAUAUCGCUCAGAAGGGAUAAUGCACAUGUUAUCCAAGCUGGGAUUGUCGUCAACAUCGUCAACAGCAUAAUGAAAGAGGAACAGGAACAAGCUAAAGUUCGCAAGUUAGUCGAACUACAACAAAUAACUUUAUUGGUGACGCCAUCUGUUCCGCCUAUGCCUUCUGCAGAAAUGUUAGCUAGCGGUGGCUCCAGUCCAUCGCAUGAAGUUCAGGAAUUUUUAUCGCUCAAAGAAAACGACUGUCUUAAUGAGCACUAUGAUUCCGACAAUAUCCUUUUGGAAGAUACCGAUGAGAUUGCUGGUGAUGAUGACGAGUUGAAUGAUCUGGAAAACGAAAUCAUCGACGACGAAGAAACACGGUAAAAUUUCAAAAACAUAGACGACGAUGACAAUGAAUCUCCUAGCAGUAGAACCAUUGAAUGGCCGAAGGUUCCCGGAGUGCCGCUUCCUCCGUUGAAAGAUCUUCCACAGCCUUCCAUGCUUCCCAGCAUUGCUGUUGUACAAUCGAACAAACAGAUGGACGAACUAACUCAAAAAAUGGAUCGGCUGUUAGACGUAGCAGAAUUCCUCGACAAAUAACUGAACUGCGUUCGCAAGUGUCCGAUCUACAAAAAAUACGUACAGAUAAUUCGAAGUUACUCAAUGAUACUCUACGGGAGAUCGAAUCCAACAUUAUCGAGCAGACCAGUUCGGAGAAGCGCACUUUGUCCGAUAUUCAUAGUGAGAAAAUCGGAACUAUGUACAGCAAACAUUUCAGCAGCUUAAACUUUACUAUCAUGAAUUCACUAGAACCGAGAUUGACGCUCCAGAUUGUCAACCGAAUCGGGAGCAGUUGCAGCAAAAAUUCGAUUGUGCCCUCCAAGAGGGUGUACAAAAACUAUGCGUAAUCAGGUAACUAUUGAUGCUAUCGGUAAUUCCGUCUAUAAGAGUGUUCGAAAAGCAAUGGAAACAUCAUUUCAUGAAGCGUUACGAAACAUCAUUUUACCGAAUUAUGAGUGAUGCUCACAAGAACUGUUUUGGCAGCUCAAUAAAGAAUUUUCAGCAGGGUUAAAAGAAUACCUCGAUAAAACGGAAACGUAUUUAUCAUGCAGAAAACUGAACGAAGAGUUUGAAGCCGCGCUAAAAAAAACCGUUCAAUAAACUGGGCAGAACUUAACUGUCAAUGAUCUAUUCCAACCCGCCAAUGUUGCAGCCUAGCGUAAAGAUCUAAGCAAUGAUUCGAAUGAUUUCCAAGGCAAUUAGCUUAAAAUGAUUUGGGAAAACGUAAGGGCGGAAAUCGAUAAGGGUUUGGAGGCCCAAGCCUCUUCUCUAGAGGACUCAGUAUUGUCAGCGGUGCGGUCGCAAGCACAAACUCCAGCGCCCGCUUUUUUGGGUCAUCCCGAACACAUCCGGCAACUGCUAGCCACAGGGCGCAUAAACGAUGCAUUCGUUAUAGCUCUUCAGUCCAACGAUUUGAAACUAUAGUGUGAUUCACAAUAAAGCACGCCAAUUACAAACAGGUGUUCAAUCCAUGUGCUCUAGAACAACGGAUACUGCUGUCACUGAUUCAGCAGAUUGCAGCCGACAUGUCCAAUAUUAACGACCUUAAGCACAGGUUUCUCUCUGACGCCAUCGUUAAUCUGACCUUCUUCGACCACAUUAUGAAUGAACACAUUCAUAAGGUCCUGCAGGAGGUAGCUCGUAACAUACAGGCAUUUUUGUCAAUGAAUCCCGAACACGUACUUGCUACCAGACUUAAGUUAUUAAUGAUUGCCAUCCAAGGCUGUAAAUAUGCCUGAUCUUUGUGGAGGCAACACCAGUAAAAGGUUCGCGAGGACCUGGUAAUGUUGAGCCGGCAGUUUGAAGAAAAAUAAAUAAGCUGCUUUUAAACCCGCAUCUUUUUUCUUUUUCCAGUUGAAAACAUCCCAAUUCUAGUAUUUUAAAGAAAAAAAAUUACCUGUUUUCCUUCCAUUCUGCGAUAUGGUUUAAAAUAAACCGUUUUUUCAACUUCUCCGCAAUAAUUUCUUGCGGUUAAAAAGUAACCAUAUUUCCACUUCUCAAAAGAAGUCAAAAAAUGAUUUCUAUGGAAGCAGUCAAAAAAUCCCUUAACGCGGAAGGGUGUGAAAAUGGUUACUUUUUAACGAUAAUUGGUUAAAGAAUUUCGAGCGUGUUGGCGUUGUGUUGACUGGCUUCAGGCUGGCAGCCUCCAUUUAUUUCAUUUCGAAUUGGCGCUGAAAGUUGUCUACAUUCUAUUCCUGUAAAAAACGGUGAAAUAGAUUCAAAAAGAAAAGUGUCAGUGCGUGAAAAGUCGAUUGUUGGUGCCUUAACGAUUGUUGCUGCGUAUAAGGUGUAUGUACAACAUGAACACUCUACGCGGUUAUUUGAAAAAGGCAGUAUCUGAAGCUGAGCCGUCUUUUGUAAAAAUAGACGACAAUAAAACUCAGACUGGGCCAGAAAACGGUCAAAAGAAACAGGAUGUAAAUAAACGUAAGAAACGGCGUAGUCGAGCUGCCAAUAGCUCUCUGGAUGACAGCAAAACAUUAAAUCAAGAUUUGAAAACAACAAAAACACCUAAAAAGAAAAAAAGAAAUGUUUCAAUUGAUUCGAUCCCGGAUGAGUUUUGGGAAAUAACUUUUACGCAAGAACAAACACAAUGAAUAUCGUUCUUAUCAAUUAAAAUUCGCUUAAUUUUAAUCAAAAUCAAUGUACCCGAACGACCCGGGUGGUUAAAAGGUCUCUUAUAAAUAAUAAUAAUAAUGUUAAGAGUAAAGAUGCGAGUUGAGAAUAAAUUAUAAUAAAAAUGACAAUGAUUAUACAAAUCAAUAUUUUUACCCCACUUUUAAAGAAAAUAUUCCAAUUAAAAAUUCGUAUUCAUAUUCAGACAACAAUGUACACACGAAGGCUCUACAUUACGGCUUUUCGAUCCAUUGCUUCCUAAAUAUGCAAAUUUAAGGCGAGA